UCUGUGAUAUCACAAGUGUUGUCGUGACUGCAACUCCCUUCAGAUAUCCCUUCAGUACCUCUAGUGUUUACUAAUUUAACUCUAAUCGAGAGUAAACAGUCAUUGUGGAGUGAGAAGGAAGAGGAUGAUGAGAUCAGAGAUGGGAAGAAGGAAGGUGGUCUUCUGUCUUGUUAUAAAAAAAGGAUGAAAUACAUGGUACUUCGGAAAGCUCAAAAAACUCUCAAAACUCAUCCUGGCUGACAAUGUAGAUUAGACGCAUCAGAUGAAAUGAAUUGAAAAACUCUCCUGGGAAUGAAAGUGGUAAGGAAAUCACAUUGAUGUAUCCUAAAUGCAGUGCUAAGAGCAAUAUUCAGACUAGUCUGUGGAGAUGCUGCUGUCAUCAGAGACCACAGACAAUUAGUGGAGAAUGAUUCAGCAUUAAACU
This is a non-coding RNA of Rattus norvegicus (Norway rat), 424 nucleotides long. NCBI's taxonomy places the organism in Eukaryota, Metazoa, Chordata, Mammalia, Rodentia, Muridae. The record is from RefSeq and is a predicted model, not a curated record.